This 433-nucleotide ribosomal RNA is filed under the name uncultured bacterium. Its description in RNAcentral is "partial 16S ribosomal RNA". It matches the Rfam family "Bacterial small subunit ribosomal RNA", at positions 29 to 507 of the family's 1533-position model. The record is from RNAcentral.
AACGAACGCUGGCGGCAUGCCUAACACAUGCAAGUCGAACGAGACCUUCGGGUCUAGUGGCGCACGGGUGCGUAACGCGUGGGAACCUGCCCUUAGGUUCGGAAUAACUCCCCGAAAGGGGUGCUAAUACCGGAUAAUGUCUUCGGACCAAAGAUUUAUCGCCUUUGGAUGGGCCCGCGUUGGAUUAGCUAGUUGGUAGGGUAAAAGCCUACCAAGGCGACGAUCCAUAGCUGGUCUGAGAGGAUGAUCAGCCACACUGGGACUGAGACACGGCCCCGACUCCUACGGGAAGCAGCAGUGGGGAAUAUUGGAACAUGGGCGAAAGCCUGAUCCAGCAAUGGCGCGUGAGUGAUGAAGGCCUUAGGGUUGUAAAGCUCUUUUACCCGGGAUGAUAAUGACAGUACCGGGAGAAUAAGCUCCGGCUAACUCCGUG